UACGUAGGGUGCAAGCGUUAAUCGGAAUUACUGGGCGUAAAGCGUGCGCAGGCGGUUUUGCAAGCCGGAGGUGAAAUCCCCGGGCUCAACCUGGGAAUGGCAUUUGGGACUGCAAGGCUCGAGUGCGGCAGAGGAGACUGGAAUUCCUGGUGUAGCAGUGAAAUGCGUAGAUAUCAGGAGGAAUACCGAUGGCGAAGGCAGGUCUCUGGGCUGACACUGACGCUCAUGCACGAAAGCGUGGGGAGCAAACAGG
This 253-nucleotide ribosomal RNA is filed under the name uncultured bacterium. Its description in RNAcentral is "partial 16S ribosomal RNA". It matches the Rfam family "Bacterial small subunit ribosomal RNA", at positions 524 to 776 of the family's 1533-position model. The record is from RNAcentral.